This 1199-nucleotide long non-coding RNA is filed under the name Phascolarctos cinereus (koala). RNAcentral's name for it is "lncRNA (ENSPCIG00000032188.1)". The record is from RNAcentral. Lineage: Eukaryota; Metazoa; Chordata; Mammalia; Diprotodontia; Phascolarctidae.
CGGCUGGAAGCUUCCAUGGGCUGUGGGAGGGAAGCUGGGCGUUGUCGCUUUAAACGCAUACUCGCGGGCACACAUUGGCGCAUACCCAGGCGCGCACACUCAGGAACACACACACGCAUGCACGCACGCACACUCUCCCCCCACCCCGCCAUCUCUUCUGCGAACGAUCCCUGACUGCGGCGCAUUUGUCUGUGAGUCUGCCCGCUCCGGCUAGGCUGGCUCGCUGCUGACGCUAGCCUCCAGAUUUGCCUGCCACCCGGUUAGUCCACCCGCAGCGUUUGCGGAUCCCCUAGGGCCGGGGGCUUGGGACUCCGGGGCCGCUUUUCCAGGAUCGUGGCCACUGCAGGGGCUGCUGCGGAGGGCGGUCCGGUUUGGAUUGGGCAGGGCAGGGCAGAAGCUGGGCAGUGCGGGCAGGGCGUGAAGCCCCUGAGGGAGGAACCGCAGGGCUGGGGCUGGGGCUUGGGGCUGGAAAUAAGGCUCGAGCUGAGCUGUCUACUGGAGCCACGCGCGGGAGGGGACCCGGGCAGUGGCAGGGCUGGGGAGGGAGGCAGGAGAGGUUAGCUGGGAAGCCCAGUGGCCAGGGGGAGAGAUCAAGGACUCUGGCUGGCUGGAGGGGCCCUGAGGACACUGGGUGUUGUAGAAAGGGGCCUUAGUGCCUUCCACUCACCCUGAGGUAUGAGCUGGUCUCCAGCCAUCUCCCCCCUCAGAAUGCACGCCCUUCCUCGAUGAUGAGUACUCCUAAAAUUCUGAGCUUUCUUCAAGGCUUAGCUCAGGGGGCGCCUCCUCCAGGAAGCCUUUUCUCAUCCCCUCAGUCCUUUCUCCCUCUGCAAAUUACUUAGUUUGGCACAUACUCUAUCCCCUAGUAAAGUGUAAGGCGCCCCCCCCCCCACCAUGCCUGGGGAGGCGGGGAGGUGCAAUUCAGUGACACUCUUUGAAAGGAGGUGGAAGGUGAGGACAUAACCAACAUCUGAAAAUACCACACCAGUGAAGGCAGAAUUGCAGGCUGGAUAAUUUUUUUUUAAUUUUUUCUUUUUUAGGUUAACAUACACAUUUUGGAAACAAACACGUGAUUGGUGCUUAUAUGUUUCUGCCUAAUUAUUUUUAUGUUGCUUGUUUUUCUUGGAUGGUUAUUUGGUUAAUGAGGACUAAGGUUAGAAGAAAACAAUAAAAGAGCAGAACAAAAAGGAAAGAGAAGUCUC